UACGUAGGGAGCAAGCGUUAUCCGGAUUUAUUGGGUGUAAAGGGUGCGUAGACGGGAAGUUAAGUUAGUUGUGAAAUCCCUCGGCUCAACUGAGGAACUGCAACUAAAACUGGCUAUCUUGAGUGCAGGAGAGGAAAGUGGAAUUCCUAGUGUAGCGGUGAAAUGCGUAGAUAUUAGGAGGAACACCAGUGGCGAAGGCGACUUUCUGGACUGUAACUGACGUUGAGAUGCGAAAGCGUGGGUAGCAAAC
RNAcentral lists this ribosomal RNA (250 nucleotides) under uncultured prokaryote. RNAcentral's name for it is "partial 16S ribosomal RNA". It matches the Rfam family "Bacterial small subunit ribosomal RNA", at positions 524 to 773 of the family's 1533-position model. The record is from RNAcentral.